RNAcentral lists this ribosomal RNA (253 nucleotides) under uncultured bacterium. RNAcentral's name for it is "partial 16S ribosomal RNA". It matches the Rfam family "Bacterial small subunit ribosomal RNA", at positions 524 to 776 of the family's 1533-position model. The record is from RNAcentral.
UACGAAGGGGGCUAGCGUUGCUCGGAAUUACUGGGCGUAAAGGGUGCGUAGGCGGCGCGGUAAGUCGGGUGUGAAAUCUCGGAGCUUAACUCCGAAACUGCAUUCGAUACUGCCGUGCUUGAGGACUGGAGAGGAGACUGGAAUUUACGGUGUAGCGGUGAAAUGCGUAGAUAUCGUAAGGAAGACCAGUGGCGAAGGCGGGUCUCUGGACAGUUCCUGACGCUGAGGCACGAAGGUCAGGGGAGCAAACGGG